Cucurbita pepo subsp. pepo (vegetable marrow) is the source of this 260-nucleotide non-coding RNA. Lineage: Eukaryota; Viridiplantae; Streptophyta; Magnoliopsida; Cucurbitales; Cucurbitaceae. The record is from RefSeq and is a predicted model, not a curated record.
UUGCACUAAAAUUUUGGGAACUUUUUGAUAUAGCUUUCCAGCCCACAGAAAACCAGAGGGAGCUGCUCAACAAGAAUCUUCCAUGGCGGCUGCUCCACCGCCGAAAUCUUUUCUAUCUCUAUCCAUCGGAGACGAAAACCGAUGGGAUGCGACGAACGAAGUUGAGGAGGACAAAUGCGCGUUCCUAGUCGUAGCUCUCUGCCCUUGUCUCGAUGAUAUUGUUACUCUUUAGCUUCUAAGCACCAUCGAAAGUGCUUGAA